AUUGAACGCUGGCGGCAUGCCUUACACAUGCAAGUCGAACGGUAACGGGCCUUCGGGUGCCGACGAGUGGCGAACGGGUGAGUAAUACAUCGGAACGUGCCCGAUCGUGGGGGAUAACGAGGCGAAAGCUUUGCUAAUACCGCAUACGAUCUACGGAUGAAAGCAGGGGACCGCAAGGCCUUGCGCGGACGGAGCGGCCGAUGGCAGAUUAGGUAGUUGGUGGGAUAAAAGCUUACCAAGCCGACGAUCUGUAGCUGGUCUGAGAGGAUGAUCAGCCACACUGGGACUGAGACACGGCCCAGACUCCUACGGGAGGCAGCAGCGGGGAAUUUUGGACAAUGGGCGCAAGCCUGAUCCAGCCAUGCCGCGUGCAGGAUGAAGGCCUUCGGGUUGUAAACUGCUUUUGUACGGAACGAAAAGCCUUCUUUUAAUACAGGAGGGUCAUGACGGUACCGUAAGAAUAAGCACCGGCUAACUACGU
RNAcentral lists this ribosomal RNA (481 nucleotides) under uncultured bacterium. Its description in RNAcentral is "partial 16S ribosomal RNA". It matches the Rfam family "Bacterial small subunit ribosomal RNA", at positions 30 to 506 of the family's 1533-position model. The record is from RNAcentral.